GACGAACGCUGGCGGCGUGCUUAACACAUGCAAGUCGAACGGUGAAGGGGUCUGCUUUUGUGGGUCCUGGAUGAGUGGCGAACGGGUGAGUAACACGUGAGUAACCUGCCCCCUUCUUCUGGAAAACCGCAUGAAAGUGUGGCUAAUACGGGAUAUUCUGGGUCUGUCGCAUGAUGGGUCUGGGAAAGAUUGCGCCUUUGGGUGUAUUUGGUGGGGGAUGGGCUCGCGGCCUAUCAGCUUGUUGGGGGGGUGAUGGCCUACCAAGGGGGGGACGGGUAGCCGGCCUGAGAGGGUGGACGGUCACGCUGGGACAGAGACACGGCCCAGACACGUACGGGAGGCAGCAGUGGGGAAUAUUGCAGAAUGGGCGCAAGCCUGAUGCAGCGACGCCGCGUGAGGGAUGGAGGCCUUCGGUUUGUAAACCUCUUUCGCCAGUGAAGCAGGCCUGCUCCUUGUGGGUGGGUUGACGGUAGCUGGAUAAGAAGCGCCGGCUAACUACGGG
Molecule: ribosomal RNA, 502 nt
Filed under: uncultured bacterium
Lineage: Bacteria
Description: partial 16S ribosomal RNA
Rfam family: Bacterial small subunit ribosomal RNA
Source: RNAcentral